This 358-nucleotide ribosomal RNA is filed under the name uncultured bacterium. Its description in RNAcentral is "bacterial SSU rRNA". It matches the Rfam family "Bacterial small subunit ribosomal RNA", at positions 29 to 417 of the family's 1533-position model. The record is from RNAcentral.
AACGAACGCUGGCGGCAGGCCUAACACAUGCAAGUCGAACGCUCCGCAAGGGGAGUGGCGCACGGGUGAGUAACACGUGGGAACCUACCUUCUGGUACGGAACAACCAAGGGAAACUUUGGCUAAGACCGUAUACGACCUCCGGGUGAAAGAUUGAUCGCCGGAAGAGGGGCCCGCGUCCGAUUAGGUAGUUGGUGAGGUAACGGCUCACCAAGCCUUCGAUCGGUAGCUGGUCUGAGAGGAUGACCAGCCACACUGGGACUGAGACACGGCCCAGACUCCUACGGAGGCAGCAGUGGGGAAUAUUGGACAAUGGGCGCAAGCCUGAUCCAGCCAUGCCGCGUGAGUGAUGAAGGCCU